RNAcentral lists this transfer RNA (72 nucleotides) under Chondromyces crocatus. It matches the Rfam family "tRNA". From Rfam's summary of the family: Transfer RNA (tRNA) molecules are approximately 80 nucleotides in length. Their secondary structure includes four short double-helical elements and three loops (D, anti-codon, and T loops). Further hydrogen bonds mediate the characteristic L-shaped molecular structure. tRNAs have two regions of fundamental functional importance: the anti-codon, which is responsible for specific mRNA codon recognition, and the 3' end, to which the tRNAs corresponding amino acid is attached (by aminoacyl-tRNA synthetases). tRNAs cope with the degeneracy of the genetic code in two manners: having more than one tRNA (with a specific anti-codon) for a particular amino acid; and 'wobble' base-pairing, i.e. permitting non-standard base-pairing at the 3rd anti-codon position. The record is from Rfam by way of RNAcentral. Lineage: Bacteria; Pseudomonadati; Myxococcota; Polyangiales; Polyangiaceae.
GGGCGGGUAGCUCAGUGGCAGAGCGCUGGCCUUACAAGCCGGUGGUCGCAGGUUCGACCCCUGUCCCGCCCA